UGCAUUAUAUCGCAGAAACCCUA
RNAcentral lists this non-coding RNA (23 nucleotides) under Arabidopsis thaliana (thale cress). The record is from RNAcentral. Lineage: Eukaryota; Viridiplantae; Streptophyta; Magnoliopsida; Brassicales; Brassicaceae.